RNAcentral lists this long non-coding RNA (1312 nucleotides) under Citrus maxima (pomelo). RNAcentral describes it as "long non-coding RNA (CMAX_LNC002075)". The record is from RNAcentral. Lineage: Eukaryota; Viridiplantae; Streptophyta; Magnoliopsida; Sapindales; Rutaceae.
UUUAAAUGUGCCUUUUCUGCUGUGUUUAUUUAUGUACACAUUUGGGGUAUGUCUUUGUCCAUAUGGGUCCAUGUCUAUGAAUAGUGACAUCUUUGUUUGACAAAUGUGGGGUCCUUGCUAGGUUUUGUUGUUCCGCUGACAUGUGUAAGCUUGGUUGGGCCUCUCUAAAUGGGAAUAGUUAUGCCUUUGUUUUGGCUAAAAAUCUUCAUAUCCUAAUUAUGGGUCAAAUGAAUAUAUUUGAUUCAAUGGCUUACGAUAACCUGGUAAAGUCAAUAGGUUUUCAUCAAAUGUAUUAGCAAUUUUAUCAUAUAUUCAACCAUUUCUUGGUUGCACUUUUAUGGGUGAUAUUUUCUUGUAGAUUCUAAAUUUCAUCAUGUUCCACCUUUCCAGAAUUUCCAAAUUUGCUGUCUAAGUAGACUAAUUUGAUCCAUUAUGUGUGUGGCAUUAGACAUCAAAUGGGUUAGACUUAGGCUUGAGAUAAGGUGCUCGCUGCUAAAAUGCAUCAUUCAAUUGAUUUAUCAACUUGGUGGCUUUGUUCACUUUUUCAUUGAUCUUAUUUUGCACACAUCAUGUGCUGCUCUCUGCACUACUUCGUCAUCGAAAGAUUUUACAUUCAGGGUUGGUACCUCCUAUUUUCUUUUCUUUUCUUUUUGUGGGAGAAUAGAAUUUGGAGGGGAAUGUUUUUUGGUUGUGUUGUUCUUGGUCAAUUAGGGAUAAUUCUUGUAAAGUUCCAAGACAUGUCUCAGUGUAUUGGUUCUCGCGUAAAUUGGGUUGUGGGAGCAAGCAGCUGCUGUACUUCAUCAAUCAUUGUUAAAAGUCGCAAAGAAAUCAUAUGCUUGUCUUUAUCUUUGGACUUGUGGCAUUUCCUGGUGUGAAAGCAUACUUUUGUUAGUAUAAGAUGCUUCCAAUCUGAAUUUUUAUCACCCUUUCUCAUGACAUUUCCCAUCCGAAAGUAUUCAUUCCAUUGGUUGCAAUUUUCAUAAAUGUGACAUUAGAUGUGUAGUUUGAUGACAAUUUUGAUGCAUUAUUUCUGAUGUCAUGUUUCCAUAGUUAUGAAUUCAUCUCAAAAAUCCCCUUUUGCAGCUUAUAUCACUGUCUGAGAAGUGGCAGCGGUUGUAGUUUUGCCUGAAUGGAGAGACAAUUGACUUCAGACCCUGGGCUUUAUUUGCCUGAAUGGAGAGACAAUUGACUUCAGACCCUGGGCUUUAUAGCUUUGAAAAUGAUGUUCCAGCAAGGAAACUUGAUGAAUCAGCGGCUUCUUAAUCGGGGAAGAGUUGUAGAUCCUAGAGUUAUUACAAAUGUAGACAAUAUA